Molecule: long non-coding RNA, 2448 nt
Organism: Sceloporus undulatus (fence lizard)
Lineage: Eukaryota; Metazoa; Chordata; Lepidosauria; Squamata; Phrynosomatidae
Exons: 3
Source: RefSeq, a predicted model, not a curated record
CUGAGAUCUAGCAACUUGACCGUGACUGCCUAUCCCAUCCUUCUGGUCUCUUUCAGAAAAGCAAUUCCAGACUGAGAUGUUUCAAGGGCUACACAGCUCUCCAAGUUUUUCCUCUUAAGGCAUGGCAGACCCUUCACCAUUUUGGUCUCCCUCUUCUGGACCCCCUCUGACUUGGAAACAUCCUUUUUGAAUUGUGGUGCCCAGAACUGGACACAAUAUUCCAGGUUUUGGCCUGGCAGUCUGAGGAAUGGUACUAACCUGGGAACCCUGGUAUACUCUGGGCUGGCAAGGAAGGCAAAGAAGCAUUUGUUCUCUACUACGGCACCAUCUCCAUGUCAUCCAGUGGAGUUUAGGUUUGUUUUCCCCAACAGGUAUGCAGCCUUUUGCAACCAGUCUAGAGAGGAAAUGUAGAAACGACUGCAGCUGGCAAUGUUUUAGACACAAGACCCUUUGGGAGCAAAAGCAUGUGCAUCCCUCAUGACUUGGAUCCCUUGGAUGAUAUACUGUGUGGGUUUUUAAAAAUAAUGUUGAUCAAAGCUUUGCCAAGAACAAGCGUAAACAUACCCUCCGACAGUUUACAGAGGAAAAUGGAGGUCCAAAACACACGGCAGAAAUAAUCCAAUUUGAGACCGCUUUAACUGCCCCAGCUCAAUGUUAGGGGAUUCUGGGAACAGUCGUUUUGUGAGACAUUUAGCCUUCUCUGUCAGAGAGCUCUGGUGCCAUGAUAAACUACAAUGUCUGGAGUUCCCUAGAACUCAGCCAGGGUAGUUAAAGUGGUCUCAAACUGGAUUAUUUCGGCAGUGUGUUUUGGACCUGAAAUACAUGAAGCCAAGUAAUAUCCAAGCAUAGUCAAGUUAUUAAUGCAGAAGAAUGCACAAGCCAGGAGAGGCUACAGCAGUUUGCUUUUGGCUGAACCUCCUGGAAAGGGCAAGAUCUUGCCCCCUCCUCUCCCCACUCCUCUUGAAUUAAAUGCAUUUUAAUCUCAGUUUGCAGCAAUUGAAAUAAGCUUAGGACAAAGGAGGAAAGUGGGAGAAAAAGAGGAACCAAGACAUUUUAAAAGCAGCUGAAGCAGUGGAAUGGCAGAGCAUUAAUCAGGAUUAAUGCACACUUUUGGAAAGCCUGCAUUCACCCUCUCCCCUUUGGCAAAGAGUUGCUGAUGGAGCAUUAAUGCCAUCCUGCACAUGUGGAGCACCUUGAGCAUUUCAGAGUUUGCACUGAACAAGACAUAUUCUCCUUUGAUGAAGCCCCAGGGCAUCGCCGCUGUUGUCUGUUGUUGUUGUUUAUCAAAAAAUUGAUUUUAUUGGCUUAUAGGGGAACCAGAGUAGCCAGAAAACAGUGAGUCAAACUGAGUGUAGUCAAAGUCAACGUGACCUUGCUGAGAAAAUGCAAGCUUGAGAAAAUGGCCAGACGUUCCUUCUCAGGGUUCAGCUGAAGUCCAGGAUGGUGAAAGGGUGGCAUGCAGGCUGCCUAUGUGCCAUCAAAGCUAUUUCUUAGGCCCAAAUGUUCCUUCAGUCCUUCGGUUUCUAGCAUUAAAGUAAUUUAAACCUUCAGCAGAGCCUUUAGAAAUGCCACGUGGACAUCAAGGGUGCAUCUACACUGUAGAAAAAAAUGCAGUUUGACCCCACUUUAAGUGCAGUCACUCCAUCCUAUGGAAUCAUGGUAGCUGUAGUUUUUACAAGUUCUUGAGCUUCUCUGCCAAAGCAUGCUGGUGCCUCACAAAUCUGCAAACCCCAGGCUUUGGAUUAAAGUGCUGUCCAACUAUGUUAUGUCUACAAAUAAACGUGCUAAGAAAACCCUGCCUUAGGGUUGCCAUAUGAGAAUGACUUCGGGGCACGCAAUGACAACAAAUAUAAAGUUACACAAUAUCGAUGAUGUUAAAGAAUUCCAGUGAUAAUGACUGAUGAUGAAGAUGACAUUCCUUUAUAUCCUACCUUUGCCCCUCCAAAAAUGGAAAUCAAGGCAAUUUAUAGUUCAUUUAAACAGAUUUUAAAAUAUACCAAAAAUUAGUAUGUAUGUCUAUGUGUCUAUAUAUAUAUGUGUGUGUGUGUCCCAUUUUAAAAAACAGCGAAACAACCUCUAGAGUUAACACUGCUUAAAAUUCCUUAAAGGACCAUGUAAACAUUGGCAUGCCAGUGAUUUGCUUCCAAUGCGAUGCACGUGUUCUAAUCUUUUCAACCUGUUUUAACUUGUUAAUGUGCUUGAUAUGUUUUUAGUCUGUUGAAAUAAUGUUCAUUGUCUGCCCUUGUUGGAAUACUGAGUAUCUGUAUGCUGCCUUGAGAUCUUUGGAUAGAGGGCAGGAUAGAAAUGUUUUGAAUAAAUAGAUUAUAGACCACCCAGCCUUCUCAUGAUGGCCUCCUUCACGACUCUUUCUAAGAAGCCUGGGCAACAGGAGGUCUCUCUUGGUAGAGAGAUGAUUUGGCUAAAAUUGGAUAGAUGAGGUGGCCUGGA